RNAcentral lists this ribosomal RNA (419 nucleotides) under uncultured bacterium. RNAcentral's name for it is "bacterial SSU rRNA". It matches the Rfam family "Bacterial small subunit ribosomal RNA", at positions 29 to 489 of the family's 1533-position model. The record is from RNAcentral.
AACGAACGCUGGCGGCAUGCCUAACACAUGCAAGUCGAACGAGACCUUCGGGUCUAGUGGCGCACGGGUGCGUAACGCGUGGGAAUCUGCCCUUUGCUUCGGAAUAACAGUUAGAAAUGACUGCUAAUACCGGAUGAUGUCUUCGGACCAAAGAUUUAUCGGCAAAGGAUGAGCCCGCGUAGGAUUGGGUAGUUGGUGGGGUAAAGCCUACCAAGCCGACGAUCCUUAGCUGGUCUGAGAGGGAUGAUCAGCCACACUGGGGACUGAGACACGGCCCAGACUCCUACGGGAGGCAGCAGUGGGGAAUAUUGGACAAUGGGCGCAAGCCUGAUCCAGCAAUGCCCGCGUGGAGUGAUGAAGGCCUUCGGGUCGUAAAGCUCUUUUACCAGGGAUGAUAAUCGACAGUACCUGGAGAUAAG